This 1364-nucleotide ribosomal RNA is filed under the name metagenome. Its description in RNAcentral is "bacterial SSU rRNA". It matches the Rfam family "Bacterial small subunit ribosomal RNA". The record is from RNAcentral.
GGACGGGUGAGUAACGCGUGGGAAUCUGCCCUCAGGAGGGGGAUAACGACUGGAAACGGUCGCUAAUACCCCAUAUGCCGAGAGGUGAAAUGAAUUUCGCCUGAGGAUGAGCCCGCGUCUGAUUAGCUAGUUGGUGGGGUAAGAGCUCACCAAGGCGACGAUCAGUAGCUGGUCUGAGAGGAUGAUCAGCCACACUGGGACUGAGACACGGCCCAGACUCCUACGGGAGGCAGCAGUGGGGAAUUUUCCGCAAUGGGCGAAAGCCUGACGGAGCAACGCCGCGUGAGGGAUGAAGGCCUCUGGGCUGUAAACCUCUUUUCUCAAGGAAGAAGAUCUGACGGUACUUGAGGAAUAAGCCACGGCUAAUUCCGUGCCAGCAGCCGCGGUAAUACGGGAGUGGCAAGCGUUAUCCGGAAUCAUUGGGCGUAAAGCGUCCGCAGGUGGCUUUGUAAGUCUGCCGUUAAAGCGUGGAGCUUAACUCCAUUUCAGCGGUGGAAACUACAAGGCUUGAGUGUGGUAGGGGCAGAGGGAAUUCCCGGUGUAGCGGUGAAAUGCGUAGAUAUCGGGAAGAACACCAGUGGCGAAGGCGCUCUGCUGGGCCAUAACUGACACUCAUGGACGAAAGCCAGGGGAGCGAAAGGGAUUAGAUACCCAUGUAGUCCUGGCCGUAAACGAUGAACACUAGGCGUCGGGGGAAUCGACCCCCUCGGUGUCGUAGCCAACGCGUUAAGUGUUCCGCCUGGGGAGUACGCACGCAAGUGUGAAACUCAAAGGAAUUGACGGGGGCCCGCACAAGCGGUGGAGUAUGUGGUUUAAUUCGAUGCAACGCGAAGAACCUUACCAGGGUUUGACAUCCUGCGAACCCCUGAGAAAUCGGGGGGUGCCUUCGGGAACACAGUGACAGGUGGUGCAUGGCUGUCGUCAGCUCGUGUCGUGAGAUGUUGGGUUAAGUCCCGCAACGAGCGCAACCCACGUCCUUAGUUGCCAGCAUUCAGUUGGGCACUCUAGAGAGACCGCCGGUGAUAAACCGGAGGAAGGUGUGGAUGACGUCAAGUCAUCAUGCCCCUUACAUCCUGGGCUACACACGUACUACAAUGCUACGGACAAAGGGCAGCGAACUCGCGAGAGCAAGCAAAUCCCAUAAACCGUGGCUCAGUUUAGAUCGUAGGCUGCAACUCGCCUACGUGAAGGAGGAAUCGCUAGUAAUCGCAGGUCAGCAUACUGCGGUGAAUACGUUCCCGGGCCUUGUACACACCGCCCGUCACACCAUGGAAGUUAGCCACGCCCGAAGUCGUUACUCCAACCCUUGUGGAGGAGGAUGCCGAAGGUGGGGCUGAUGACUGGGGUGAAGUCGUAACAAGGUA